CGAGAAUCUUCGGCAAUGGGCGCAAGCCUGACCGAGCGACGCCGCGUGGAGGACGAAGGCCUUCGGGUUGUAAACUCCUGUCGAGGGGGAGAAAGGGCCCGCAAGGGCCUUGAUCGAUCCCUGGAGGAAGCACGGGCUAAGUUCGUGCCAGCAGCCGCGGUAAGACGAACCGUGCGAACGUUAUUCGGAAUCACUGGGCUUAAAGCGCGUGUAGGCGGAUCGGUGCGUCGAUGCCUGAAAUCCCCCGGCUCAACCGGGGAACGCGGCCCGAAACGACCGGUCUCGAGGGACGUAGGGGGGUCUGGAACUUCCGGUGGAGCGGUGAAAUGCGUUGAGAUCGGAAGGAACGCCCGUGGCGAAAGCGAGGCCCUGGACGUCUGCUGACGCUGAGACGCGAAAGCUAGGGGAGCGAACG
RNAcentral lists this ribosomal RNA (415 nucleotides) under uncultured Aquisphaera sp. Its description in RNAcentral is "bacterial SSU rRNA". It matches the Rfam family "Bacterial small subunit ribosomal RNA", at positions 356 to 774 of the family's 1533-position model. Lineage: Bacteria; Pseudomonadati; Planctomycetota; Planctomycetia; Isosphaerales; Isosphaeraceae. The record is from RNAcentral.